This 253-nucleotide ribosomal RNA is filed under the name uncultured bacterium. Its description in RNAcentral is "partial 16S ribosomal RNA". It matches the Rfam family "Bacterial small subunit ribosomal RNA", at positions 524 to 776 of the family's 1533-position model. The record is from RNAcentral.
UACAGAGGUGGCAAGCGUUGUUCGGAAUUACUGGGCGUAAAGGGUGCGUAGGCGGCCUUCUAAGUCAGACGUGAAAUCCCCCGGCUUAACCUGGGAACUGCGUCUGAUACUGGGAGGCUUGAGUAUGGGAGAGGGAUGUAGAAUUCCAGGUGUAGCGGUGAAAUGCGUAGAUAUCUGGAGGAAUACCGGUGGCGAAGGCGGCAUCCUGGACCAUAACUGACGCUGAGGCGCGAAAGCUAGGGGAGCAAACGGG